This 263-nucleotide unclassified non-coding RNA is filed under the name uncultured fungus. Its description in RNAcentral is "sequence contains ITS2". The stretch from base 1 to 52 matches the Rfam family "5.8S ribosomal RNA", at positions 103 to 154 of the family's 154-position model. Lineage: Eukaryota; Fungi. The record is from RNAcentral.
AACGCACAUUGCGCCCGCCAGUAUUCUGGCGGGCAUGCCUGUCUGAGCGUCAUUUCAACCCUCAUACCCCCGGGUGUGGUGUUGGGGAUCGGCCUCCCGCCCUCUCGAGGGCGCGGCCGGCCCCUAAAUCUAGUGGCGGACCCGCUGUGGCCUCCUCUGCGUAGUAGUGAUACCCCGCACCGGAAAGCAGCGAGACCCUGCCGUAAAACCCCAACUCUUCUAAGGUUGACCUCAGAUCAGGUAGGAAUACCCGCUGAACUUAA